This 545-nucleotide ribosomal RNA is filed under the name uncultured bacterium. RNAcentral's name for it is "bacterial SSU rRNA". It matches the Rfam family "Bacterial small subunit ribosomal RNA", at positions 337 to 872 of the family's 1533-position model. The record is from RNAcentral.
UCCUACGGGAGGCAGCAGUGAGGAAUUUUGCGCAAUGGGGGAAACCCUGACGCAGCAACGCCGCGUGAGUGAAGAAGGCCCUUGGGUCGUAAAGCUCUGUCGACAGGGAAGAAAUUACUUCGUAUUAAUAGUAUGUUGUAUUGACGGUACCAGUAGAGGAAGCACCGGCUAACUCCGUGCCAGCAGCCGCGGUAAUACGGGGGGUGCAAGCGUUAUUCGGAAUUAUUGGGCGUAAAGGGCGCGUAGGCGGUUUUGUCGGUCAGAUGUGAAAGCCCGGGGCUCAACCCUGGAAGUGCAUUUGAAACAGCAAGACUUGAAUACUGGAGGGGAGAGCGGAAUUCCUGGUGUAGAGGUGAAAUUCGUAGAUAUCAGGAGGAACACCGAUGGCGAAGGCAGCUCUCUGGACAGAUAUUGACGCUGAGGCGCGAAGGUGUGGGUAGCAAACGGGAUUAGAUACCCCGGUAGUCCACACAGUAAACGAUGUUCACUCGGUGUAGCGGAUAUUAAAAUCUGCUGCGCCCCAGCUAACGCGGUAAGUGAACCGC